Molecule: ribosomal RNA, 531 nt
Filed under: Marisora roatanae
Lineage: Eukaryota; Metazoa; Chordata; Lepidosauria; Squamata; Scincidae
Description: partial 16S ribosomal RNA
Rfam family: Bacterial large subunit ribosomal RNA
Source: RNAcentral
CCUUUAGCUAAACAAGUAUUAAAGGUCCCGCCUGCCCAGUGAUUUUUUCAACGGCCGCGGUAUUCUAACCGUGCAAAGGUAGCGUAAUCACUUGUCUUUUAAAUAAAGACCUGUAUGAACGGCUAAAUGAGGAUAAACCUGUCUCAUAUAACUAAUCAGUGAAACUGAUCUUCCAGUACAAAAGCUGGGAUAACCACAUAAGACGAGAAGACCCUGUGGAGCUUAAAACAACCACUAAACAAUCACCCAAUUGACUUAGUGCUCGUUUUCAGUUGGGGCGACUUCGGAAUAAAAAACAACUUCCGAGCACAGAGCCACAACCUCUAACCGAGGCCAACAAGCCAAAGCAUUAAAAUCGACCCGGCCUAAGCCGAUCAACGAACCAAGUUACCCCAGGGAUAACAGCGCAAUCUUCUUCGAGAGCCCCUAUCAACAAGAAGGUUUACGACCUCGAUGUUGGAUCAGGACACCCAAAUGGUGCAGCCGCUAUUAAUGGUUCGUUUGUUCAACGAUUAACAGUCCUACGUGAUC